Molecule: ribosomal RNA, 516 nt
Filed under: Sepsis fissa
Lineage: Eukaryota; Metazoa; Arthropoda; Insecta; Diptera; Sepsidae
Description: partial 16S ribosomal RNA
Rfam family: Bacterial large subunit ribosomal RNA
Source: RNAcentral
AACAUGUCUUUUUGUAUUUAUUUUAAAAGUCUAACCUGCCCACUGAAUAGAUUUAAAUGGCCGCAGUAUUCUAACUGUGCAAAGGUAGCAUAAUCAUUAGUCUUUUAAUUGAAGGCUGGUAUGAAUGGUUGGACGAGGUAUUAACUGUUUCAAAUAAAUUUUUUAUAGAAUUUUAUUUUUUAGUCAAAAAGCUAAAAUGGGUUUAAAAGACGAGAAGACCCUAUAAAUCUUUACUUUUAAAUAAUUUUAAUUAUAAAGAUAAAUUUUAUUAUAAUUGUUGAAAAAGUUUUAUUGGGGUGAUAUUAAAAUUUAAAAAACUUUUAAUUUGUUUAAAACAUAAAUUAAUGAAUAUUUGAUCCAAUAUUAUUGAUUAUAAAAUUAAGUUACUUUAGGGAUAACAGCGUAAUUUUUUUGGAGAGUUCAUAUCGAUAAAAAAGAUUGCGACCUCGAUGUUGGAUUAAGAAAAAUUUUAGGUGUAGUCGCUUAAAUAUUAAGUCUGUUCGACUUUUAAAUUCU